AGGAGACUAGGCAACAGUGAGAAAAAAAUAAAGAGCUCAACGAGAGAGGGGUCGAGAGAGAGAGGGAGCAAACCCAAGAGUUCUCCCCCGGAGGGCCUCUAGCACUGUUGCCUUCUCCGAUAUAUAUAGUGGAGCGUGGUAUGGCGCCGUCAUUAAUGGCGCGGACAUUUGAAGAAUUGUCAAGUCACUGUAGACUGUCAGAGUCGCUGUAAGGUGUCAAAUCACCAUGGGGCUGUCAAAUCACUAAGGUUGACAAUGCCAUAGGCGGG
RNAcentral lists this long non-coding RNA (269 nucleotides) under Elaeis guineensis (African oil palm). Its description in RNAcentral is "long non-coding RNA (EGUI_LNC018234)". Lineage: Eukaryota; Viridiplantae; Streptophyta; Magnoliopsida; Arecales; Arecaceae. The record is from RNAcentral.